ACGGAGGGUGCAAGCGUUAAUCGGAAUCACUGGGCGUAAAGCGCUCGUAGGCGGUUUGGUCAGUCAGAUGUGAAAGCCCUCGGCUUAACCGGGGAACUGCAUUUGAUACUGCCAGACUUGAGUGUCGGAGAGGGUGGCGGAAUUCCGGGUGGAGGAGUGAAAUCCGUAGAUAUGCGGAGGAAGACCAGUAGCGAAGGCAGACAACUGGACGACAACUGACGCUGAGGAGCGAAAGUGUCGGGAGCAAACAG
Molecule: ribosomal RNA, 251 nt
Filed under: uncultured prokaryote
Description: partial 16S rRNA
Rfam family: Bacterial small subunit ribosomal RNA
Source: RNAcentral